GGUGACAAACCGGAGGAAGGUGGGGAUGACGUCAAAUCAUCAUGCCCCUUAUGAUUUGGGCUACACACGUGCUACAAUGGACAAUACAAAGGGCAGCGAAACCGCGAGGUCAAGCAAAUCCCAUAAAGUUGUUCUCAGUUCGGAUUGUAGUCUGCAACUCGACUACAUGAAGCUGGAAUCGCUAGUAAUCGUAGAUCAGCAUGCUACGGUGAAUACGUUCCCGGGUCUUGUACACACCGCCCGUCACACCACGAGAGUUUGUAACACCCGAAGCCGGUGGAGUAACCUUUUAGGAGCUAGCCGUCGAAGGUGGGACAAAUGAUUGGGGUGAAGUCGUAACAAGGUAGCCGUAUCGGAAGGUGCGGCUGGAUCACCUCCUUU
Molecule: ribosomal RNA, 381 nt
Filed under: Staphylococcus aureus
Lineage: Bacteria; Bacillati; Bacillota; Bacilli; Caryophanales; Staphylococcaceae
Description: bacterial SSU rRNA
Rfam family: Bacterial small subunit ribosomal RNA
Source: RNAcentral